This 222-nucleotide long non-coding RNA is filed under the name Lathyrus oleraceus (garden pea). RNAcentral's name for it is "Pisum sativum (pea) long non-coding RNA (PSAT_LNC025022)". Lineage: Eukaryota; Viridiplantae; Streptophyta; Magnoliopsida; Fabales; Fabaceae. The record is from RNAcentral.
CCACUUCCCUUUUCUGAGAAAACCUUCACAUUCUCCCUCCAAAACCAUUUACACACCUUCCUUAUAAAUAGGGGAAGGGGUCCCCUUCAUUUUUCAAUCUUGAAAGCCCCUCAAGCCUCUGUUGAACAUUUGAGCUAAACCGCCAAAUACAGAACACCGUAUUUUGAGUUUCAAUCCUAAACCACCACUCAUAAACCUUCAUUGAACUUCAUUCAAUCUUUC